Molecule: ribosomal RNA, 406 nt
Filed under: uncultured bacterium
Lineage: Bacteria
Description: partial 16S ribosomal RNA
Rfam family: Bacterial small subunit ribosomal RNA
Source: RNAcentral
AUUGAACGCUGGCGGCAGGCCUAACACAUGCAAGUCGAACGCGUGGCGGACGGGUGCGUAAUGUCUGGGAAACUGCCCUAUGGAGGGGGAUAACUACUGGCAACGGUAGCUAAUACCGCAUACCAUCGGAUUUGCCCAGAUGGUAUUAGGUAGUUGGUGAGGUAAAGGCUCACCUAGCCGACGAUCCCUAGCUGGUCUGAGAGGAUGACCAGCCACACUGGAACUGAGACACGGUCCAGACUCCUACGUGAGGCAGCAGUGGGGAAUAUUGCACAAUGGGCGCAAGCCUGACGCAGCCAUGCCGCGUGUAUGAAGAAGGCCUUCGGGUUGUAAAGUUCUUUCAGUGAGGAGGCGUUACUCGCAGAAGAAGCACCGGCUAACUCCGUGCCAGCAGCCGCGGUAAUAC